This 3000-nucleotide ribosomal RNA is filed under the name Spirochaetales bacterium. RNAcentral describes it as "23S ribosomal RNA". It matches the Rfam family "Bacterial large subunit ribosomal RNA". The record is from RNAcentral. Lineage: Bacteria; Pseudomonadati; Spirochaetota; Spirochaetia; Spirochaetales.
AUAUGGUCAAGCGAAUACGGGUCUAUGGGGGAUGCCUAGGAGCUCUCUGGCGAGGAAGGCCGUGGUAAGCUGCGAAAAGCUUGGGGGAGGAGCACACAUCCUGAGAUCCCGAGGUGGCCGAAUGGGGUAACCUGGCGGGCUGGAAUGUCCGUCGGCCGCAGGUGAAUACAUAGCCUGUGGUAGCGAGACCCAGGGAACUGAACCAUCUCAGUACCUGGAGGAGAAGAAAUCAAGAAGAGAUUCCCUGAGUAGUGGCGAGCGAAAGGGGAGGAGCCUAAACCUGGUGCGUGUACAAGCCGUGUGGCGUUGCGCGACUGGGGGUUGUAAGACUGUGCGGGGUCUGGCACACGACGGGCCGCGGGGUUGGAGAAAACUCACGGGUAGGGGAAGCCUACUGGGAAGGGGCACCGGAGAAGGUGAGAGUCCUGUACCCGAAACUUGUGAGUCCCCGUGCGCGCAGUUCUUGAGUACGACGGGGCACGAGGAACCCUGUCGGAAGCGGGGUCGACCACGAUCCAAGGCUAAAUACAAGAGAGCUACCGAUAGGGAAGAGUACCGUGAGGGAACGGUGAAAAGAACCCCGGUGAGGGGAGUGAAAGAGAACCUGAAACCAUAGACCUACAAGCUGUCAGAGCCCUUCGCAAGGGGGGUGAUGGCGUGCCUUUUGUAGAAUGAGCCUGCGAGUUACGGUACGUAGCGAGGUUAAGGGAUGGGAGUCCUGGAGCCGUAGGGAAACCGAGUCUGAAGAGGGCGAGCAGUUGCGUGCCGUAGACCCGAAGCCGAGUGAUCUAGGUAUGGCCAGGCUGAAGCGUGGGUAACACCAUGUGGAGGGCCGAACUCUAAUCCGUUAAAAAGGGUAGGGAUGAGCUGUGCCUAGGAGUGAAAGGCUAAACAAACUCGGAGAUAGCUGGUACUCGCCGAAAUAGCUUUAGGGCUAGCCUCAGCUGGACUGUGGGGGAGGUAAAGCACUGGAUGGACUAGGGGGCUUCACCGUCUACCAAAUCCAACCAAACUCUGAAUGCCUCUACAGGGUAGCUGGGAGUCAGACUACGGGCGACAAGGUUCGUGGUCGAGAGGGGGACAGCCCAGACCGUUGGCUAAGGUCUCGAAACGGAGCUCAGUGGGAAAGGAAGUGCCACUGCGAAGACAGCCAGGAGGUUGGCUUAGAAGCAGCCAUCCCUUGAAAGAGUGCGUAACAGCUCACUGGUCGAGUAGUGGUGCGCCGAUAAUGUAACGGGGCUAAGCUCUGUACCGAAGCCACGGGAUAGGAGGGAACUUCUAUCGGUAGGCGAGCAUUCCGUGGACCGGAGAAGGGGAGGUGAGAGCCUCUCUGGAGGGGACGGAAGGGAGAAUGCAGGCAUGAGUAACGAAAAGAGGGGUGAGAGUCCCCUCCGCCGAAAACCCGAGGGUUCCUGGGUAAAGGUCGUCUGCCCAGGGUUAGUCGGCCCCUAAGGUGAGGCCGAAAGGCGUAGCUGAUGGGAAACGGGUUCAUAUUCCCGUACCUCUUACAACUUCGAGGGGAUGACGCAUGGGGCGAAGCCCGGCCGGAGGCUGGUAGGUCCGGUCUAAGUUUCCGAGCCGAUGAGGGUAGUAGGGAAAGCCGCUACUGGAGGUGAGGGGCGAAGGCGAGCGGAGCGAUGAGCGAAGCGAAGCGGGUGUAGUCGGGGUGCCGAGAAAUAAUCUCUAAGGCUAGGUUGUAAGGGACCGUACCGCAAACCGACACAGGUGGGUGGGAUGAGGAUUCUAAGGCGCUCGAGAGAACUCGCGUUAAGGAACUCGGCAACAUGCACACGUAACUUCGGGAGAAGUGUGGCCCUCUGGGGGGGAAGCCUUCUGGGGGGUUGCAGAGAAAUGGCCCAAGCGACUGUUUAUCAAAAACACAGGUCUCUGCGAAAUCGUAAGAUGAGGUAUAGGGACUGACACCUGCCCGGUGCCGGAAGGUUAAGAGGAGGGGUUAGCUGCUGAGGCGAAGCCCUGAAUUGAAGCCCCGGUAAACGGCGGCCGUAACUAUAACGGUCCUAAGGUAGCGAAAUUCCUUGUCGGGUAAGUUCCGACCCGCACGAAUGGUGUAACGACUUGGGCGCUGUCUCAACGCGAGGCUCGGUGAAAUUAAAGUACCAGUGAAGAUGCUGGUUACCCGUGGUUAGACGGAAAGACCCCGUGAACCUUUACUGUAACUUGGCAUGGAGACUUGGCCCGGGAUGUGUAGGAUAGGUGGGAGACUGGGAAGCGUGGGCGUCAGCCUGCGUGGAGUCGUCGGUGAAAUACCACCCUUUUCGGGUUAGGUUUCUAACGGGUGUCCGGGAGCGGGCAUCUGGACAGUGUCAGGCGGGCAGUUUGACUGGGGCGGUCGCCUCCUAAAGAGUAACGGAGGUGCGCGAAGGUUCCCUUGCGCUGGUCGGAAAUCAGCGUGUACGUGCAAAGGCAAAAGGGAGCUUGACUGCGAGACCUACAAGUCGAGCAGGGACGAAAGUCGGUCUUAGUGAUCUGGCGGUGGCGAGUGGAAGCGCCGUCACUUAACGGACAAAAGGUACUCCGGGGAUAACAGGCUGAUCUUGCCCAAGAGUUCAUAUCGACGGCAAGGUUUGGCACCUCGAUGUCGGCUCAUCGCAUCCUGGGGCUGGAGCAGGUCCCAAGGGUUUGGCUGUUCGCCAAUUAAAGCGGUACGUGAGCUGGGUUCAGAACGUCGCGAGACAGUUCGGUCCCUAUCUGCCACGGGCGUUGGAUGGUUGAGAGGAGCUGCUUUUAGUACGAGAGGACCGAAGUGGACGAACCUCUGGUGUACCAGUUAUCGUGCCAACGGUAAGUGCUGGGUAGCCAAGUUCGGACGGGAUAACCGCUGAAGGCAUCUAAGUGGGAAGCCCCCCUCGAGAUGAACCAUCCCUGGCGCAUCAGCGCCCUGAAGGAACGAGACAGAAGAUCUCGUGGAUAGGCGGGAGGUGGAAGCGUGGUAACACGUGCAGCCGACCCGUACUAAUCAUCCGUGAGGCUUGACCAUAU